UCCCUUAGGUGUUCUGGGCAGCACGCGCGCUACAAUGGUCUUCGCAAACGGAUGCAUUCUCGAAGGAGAAUGCCAAUCUUGGAAUCUAUGCCUUGGUCGGGACAGUUGCUUGCAAUUUUUCGACUCGAACCAGGAAUUCCUUGUAAUCGUGAUUCAUCACAUCACGAUGAAUACGUCCCUGCCCUUUGUACACACCGCCCGUCGCUCCUACCGAUCGAAGAGUUAGGUGAAUUGUUUUGAUCGAUAAGAUUUGACUAUGGUCAACUCUCGUUGUGAAAUUCUGUGAAUCUGACUGUUUAGAGGAAGGAAAAGUCGUAACA
RNAcentral lists this ribosomal RNA (320 nucleotides) under uncultured eukaryote. Its description in RNAcentral is "partial 18S ribosomal RNA". It matches the Rfam family "Eukaryotic small subunit ribosomal RNA", at positions 1469 to 1796 of the family's 1831-position model. The record is from RNAcentral.